This 253-nucleotide ribosomal RNA is filed under the name uncultured bacterium. Its description in RNAcentral is "partial 16S ribosomal RNA". It matches the Rfam family "Bacterial small subunit ribosomal RNA", at positions 524 to 776 of the family's 1533-position model. The record is from RNAcentral.
UACAUGGGGUGCAAACGUUGCUCGGAAUUAUUGGGCGUAAAGCGCACGUAGGCGGUUCGUUAAGUCGAAUGUGAAAGCCCCCGGCUCAACUGGGGAGGGUCAUUCGAUACUGUUCGACUCGAAGGCAGGAGAGGGAAGUGGAAUUCCCGGUGUAGUGGUGAAAUGCGUAGAUAUCGGGAGGAACACCAGUGGCGAAGGCGACUUCCUGGCCUGUUCUUGACGCUGAGGCGCGAAAGCUAGGGGAGCAAACGGG